CAAUGUUGAGUAAGAUGGCGUAGUGAUUGUACUUGUUGUCUGUAAGCGUAAAAUUUGCGUAUUUGUAUUGUGCAUUUCUUACUGAAAAACUGAUGGAAAGUAAAUACCAGUGAGACGAAUACAAACACAACGGGAGUACUACGGUGCAAUUGUUACUACGAUGAAGGAUAACUGCUGCCUGGCCUAGGACACCCUCCUGCAACGUACGCUUCUCGGUUGCCUUCGCAGUGGGUCCUGUUGAUAACCCUGGCCUGGAGACGUCCAUCACCUCCAUGACUGUGACCUCACUCUCCUCUGGCGCCAGAGCAGUGGUGCCCUCACCCUGUGUUGCCUCUGCUACCACAGAUGUGCUGGUGUGCCACGUCCUCCGCGCCGGCUGAGUGAAGAGGCGGCAGGGUGGCGGUGUUGCUGGUGCGCUGGUGCCGCGUCAUGUUCCCCGGCGUGCUGGUGUGCCACGUCUUACACCAAUAGAGAAGCAACGGUGCCGCGUCAGCCAGCUCACCCCCUACCCCCUCCCCUACCCGCAGGCGAUCGGCGAGGGACAGCCGCACAGAGCUUGUACCCGCUGACACCACACGCAGUUACGAAGACUGGUAAGAUGUCCACACCGAGUUUUGUUAAUUGGAAGUAGGCGUGGAUAAUAGACAGAUAGAUAAACUCGUAGAUACAUACAUACAUACUUACACUGAGUAAUAGAAUUUAUAAUUGUAAAGAAAAAUAUUAAGUGACACAUUCACCAACAACCUAAUUAAUUUACUAUUAUACUAAUUAACUGAAUGAAUUAUUAACUAACUAGCUUACUUUCAAACUAAAUGACCAGCUAAAUAACCAACUUGAUACCAAAGAAAGCAAAAAAAAAAAAAAAAAGGAUGGACGGAAUUUUAAUGAAUGUAUCAUGAAAUUAACCACUCCUGUUUCCAUUAACCAUGUUUCGAAAUCGUCUUGUUGUUGUUGUUUUGUUGUUGUUGUUGUUGUUCUUGCUGCUGCUGCUGCUGUUAUCGCCUUGACGGAAAUGAUUCACACGGGGUAUCGAGUGACUGCCUUUCAACACUUAGUAACACUUUUUUUCUUUGUACCAGGAUCAAAAAUUGUGAUCACGUGACUGUGUCUUGUGCAAUGAAUGUUGUAAUUUGUCCAUCUAUCUGUCGGUGCGCCAUUCAGUGUGUCUUUUCUAUCAGUUAUGUUCUUAUCAGUCUAUUUGUAUUAAUCGUUUUCUUAUUUAUCAGUUGCGUAACCAUCUAUCUCUCUACUUACUUAUCUGUUUGCUUAUCUGUUUGUGUGUCUCUCCAUGUCAAUUACUCUUCCCAGUUAUUUAUACAGUACUAAAUCUUAUCUGUUAUCUGUUCAUCUGUUUAUUUUACGUAUUUUCUAUGUGUACCUGUCUUCUUACCUGCCUACUUGCCUGUCUGUCUGUCAGCUUGUGUAUGUAUACGUUCAUUGAUCGAUGUGUAUAUUAUAACAAAAUUAAAUAUCACACACUUUUCAACUCUGUUCUUUAUCGUUGUUCAAAAGUGGUGGGGGGGAUAGUGACAUUGAGAAUAUAACUACACACACACACACACACACACACUUACGUCACAAAUUUUCCUGGCGAUAAACAU
This is a long non-coding RNA of Scylla paramamosain (green mud crab), 1601 nucleotides long. RefSeq lists it as uncharacterized. NCBI's taxonomy places the organism in Eukaryota, Metazoa, Arthropoda, Malacostraca, Decapoda, Portunidae. The record is from RefSeq and is a predicted model, not a curated record. The transcript has 4 exons.